Molecule: small nuclear RNA, 105 nt
Organism: Perognathus longimembris pacificus (Pacific pocket mouse)
Lineage: Eukaryota; Metazoa; Chordata; Mammalia; Rodentia; Heteromyidae
Source: RefSeq, a predicted model, not a curated record
GUUUGUUUUGGCAGGACAUAUACUAAAAUAGGAAUGAUACAGAGAAGAUUAGCACAGCUUCUGAGCAAAGAUUACGUGCAAAUUCAUAAAACAUUCCAUAAUUUU